AAACAGUGGCUCCCAUUCGAUCACCAAUGUUAAGCAACAUUGAACUUGGUCAGUACUUAGAUGGAGGACCACAUGUGAUUUCCAGGUACUGUAAG
Non-coding RNA from Acanthosepion pharaonis, 95 nucleotides. Lineage: Eukaryota; Metazoa; Mollusca; Cephalopoda; Sepiida; Sepiidae. The record is from the annotation of a GenBank genome assembly.